UGGACUAUCGCCAAGUGGUAAGGCAUCGGUUUCUGACACCGACAUUCGCAGGUUCGAAUCCUGCUAGUCCAGCCA
This 75-nucleotide transfer RNA is filed under the name Clostridia bacterium. Its description in RNAcentral is "tRNA-Gln". It matches the Rfam family "tRNA". From Rfam's summary of the family: Transfer RNA (tRNA) molecules are approximately 80 nucleotides in length. Their secondary structure includes four short double-helical elements and three loops (D, anti-codon, and T loops). Further hydrogen bonds mediate the characteristic L-shaped molecular structure. tRNAs have two regions of fundamental functional importance: the anti-codon, which is responsible for specific mRNA codon recognition, and the 3' end, to which the tRNAs corresponding amino acid is attached (by aminoacyl-tRNA synthetases). tRNAs cope with the degeneracy of the genetic code in two manners: having more than one tRNA (with a specific anti-codon) for a particular amino acid; and 'wobble' base-pairing, i.e. permitting non-standard base-pairing at the 3rd anti-codon position. The record is from RNAcentral. Lineage: Bacteria; Bacillati; Bacillota; Clostridia.